Long non-coding RNA from Manduca sexta (tobacco hornworm), 7353 nucleotides. RefSeq lists it as uncharacterized. NCBI's taxonomy places the organism in Eukaryota, Metazoa, Arthropoda, Insecta, Lepidoptera, Sphingidae. The transcript is spliced from 2 exons. The record is from RefSeq and is a predicted model, not a curated record.
AUAAUUAUGUAUUUGUUUACAUUAUAUGCUAGAAAAAUAUUUACAUAAAACGAAUAUAUAGGAAAAAUACGUUAUCUAAAAUAAUGUAAAUAAUGAACAUUUUUCAAGCAAAACAUGAGCUAAGAGUGAUAUCAGUACUUGAAACGAAGUUUAACCAUAACAUAACAUCACGCCUGAAUCCCUUUAGGGGUAAGCAGAGGUGAAUUAGUGUGUGCAGUUUGUUAAGUGAGAUGAUAGAGAUUAUUACGCCUGCCUGUAUGAGUGAGGGAAUCUGCAAAUCUAUAAGUUAUUUAAUAUCACAAUUUAUUUGGUAUUUCUUAUAGAUCUCAAAGGUAAGGUAAAUGGUACGAUUUUAUUACUUUAAAACAAUAGGACUGUUUUUAAAUUACACUGCGUUGAAUACAAUAUUAUAAUCAACGAACAGCAUUCUUAAGUUAAUUUUUAAAAAUAAAUAUUUAUUUUUUCUUGCGUUUUAUUUCGCUUCAACGACUUAUUUAACCACAUGGGUUUUAAAAUAAGACCAUGAUUGAAGUUUACUAAGAACACGCUAACAAGUCACCUUCCUACUAUAUUUUUUCCUUCAGAACUGUACACUACAGUUGUGUUAUUAAAAGGCAAUUGAAUAGGUAACUACAAGUCUUAAAUACAUUACGAAACAAGUAUUAUGUGUGUAUAAACUAUAUACAUAUCGGAUAAAAAUAUUCGUAUUUAAACAUUUUCAGACGUACAAAAAGGUCAAACUUAAAAGAUUUGAUGGUGCUUACAUUUUUUAAAACCCGAUUUAUUUUAAUAUUGUGAUUGUUUCUAGAGAAUAUUUAUUUUUAGGUCCCGUGAAAUUGCCUUAAGAUUUUUUGUCUUUCAUAUUUUUUUCAUACUACGCUGCGUGACGUCCCUAUACAACUUAUUUUUUUACAAUUCUUGCUAAUCUUUACGUUAAAACUCUAUAGCAUCUAUUGCAAUAACAAUAUUCGUGAUUAUGUAUUGCAAUAAAAGCUUUUAAUACACAAUGUGUUGUUACAUUUGUAACAAUAGGUAAUUUAUGUACAACAGAUAAACGUCACAAGAUUGUAGAGGUAUUAUUGUAUUGUGUAAAAUUUUAUGUAAACAUGGACUCUAUGUAAAUAGAGGUAAGCUUUAUUUUGCUUUGGAUGCCUUAUGUGGUACAAGUGAUGGGAGAGAAGAGGUUUUGAAAUGAAUUACUAUAUUGGAUACGUAAAAUGUUAUACAUUAAUUAGAUCUCAAUUCAAACAAUAUUUUGUAUACAUAUUUUGUCAGAAAAGAGCAAACAAGUUUGCAAAUGUAAAAACGUUUGAACCGAGACUGAUGCUUUGAUAUUAUUUUUCUCAGAAGUAUCUAGAACUAAGGCCAAAGGAUUACUGAGCCUCAAGCCGAUCGUCCACCGCCAACUAAACUUAGUUUUCCUUAGCUCGCAUAUAUAAGCCAGUCUUUAUACACGUGGCAUAGUUUGCGGUGGACGGACAUGUAUGAAAAAUUGGCUCAACUAUGCGAGCUAAGCUAAAUUUAAUUUUAGUUGUUUAGUGGAUGAUGGCUUCAUGCUUGCAAUGCUACCUAUCGACUCCAACUUACAGGAGUCACAGUGACGGGUGAAGGCGGAAUAUUUUCUUAAAGUCUGUUGGCAACUAUACAUUUUUACUAUUCUUUUACGACUCUUACUGUGUGGAGACCUUGUAUAGAUUCGUUGAGGGUAAAAUGAACCUUCAGUCUAUACCUUAGCCCGCAUAUUACAAUGCAGGGAUGCGCGGAGACCUCGCGUUCACAGGUAAUUAACGUAUUGUUAGACGAGGUUGCUGUUAACUCUCGCGUAACUGGUUAAAACUGAAUGCAGAUCGGGUACCACAUCCGUUCAUAGUAUAUAGCACCGUAUAGCACUAUUUUUUUUUAAUUUGACAAUACGUUUGUUAGCCUGGCAAGGGCUGGCUUAUACAAACAUACCAGACUUUUUAGAGAGUGCUUUAGGCGCUCGCAACCCUUGCAUAGAAGGGGGGGGGGGGGGAUUACGUAUAAAAUAGCGGAACCUCGCGUCCCCCGUUAACCCUAUGCGAGACACAAAUAACAUCUGUUGAUUAUUGUAAAGCCUAAUUGGAAACAUUAGAAAAAAGCCCUUGUAUAUAGCAUUGCAAUGUAGACUGGACUGUACUGGACGGAAGAAGCAUGUCAAUUAGUUGUAUAGGUCUUCGGGGAUAGAAGGUAUGAGUAAGUGUGUGUCUUUUCCCUUAUUAUCGUAUGCAACGAAAUAGUUUUUGCGAAUUACCAUUACGAUUUAUUGUCCAAUGUUUUAUUGUUUGCCUAAUACAUUAAUUUUAUUUAUUAUUUGAUAGAUCGAAUGUAUGUGAACAAAAAACAGAAUCGCAUAUAGUAAAAUAUACAUUAAUAUUAAUAACAACGCUUGAAAGGCAGUUAUAUCUAAGCGACAAAUGUGUCGAAAAUGUUAUGUCCGCAUUUGGAAUUACCAGACUUACUACAUUGCUCGGUCAUUCAUUUUGUUUUGUAUGUCUAGGAUAUUUUUAUAUUACUAGACUUGAAGUUUAUAAAGUAAAUAGUUUAAUUGUUAUGAAUUUUCUUAUUAAAAUCAAAAAUUUAAAUAGAUUUACUUAAAGGUUUACUGAUUGUCGCUUAGAUAUGAUAGCCUUUUAGGCUUCCACAUAAUAAAUGCGUUGUUUUGUUUGUUACGGCCUCAAAGCUACACUACUGAACCGACUUUGAGAAAUUAAAAGAUAUUUGUGAUCGUUUCUAGAAUGUUAAGAUGUUGUAUUUUACAGAACCGUCGUAGCCUAUGUGACACAGCAUUAAGUUGUGAAACGAUUUAUAGUGGAUUCUAUUCCUUCCAGAGCUAACUGUACGAGUAUUCUUUUGUUUAUAACUGCUAUAAUCAAGCAAUCUCCAAAGUACUACACAGCAUUCCAUUGAUAUUUAGGAUGUCGUAGAAUAAAUAAUUUCCUUCAAACACGGACAUUACUUGUACGUAUAACACCGCGUAGCCAUCAAAUAUAUGACAUUACAAAAUGAACCUUAUUCUGAUGAUUUACAUAAGAGUUAUAAUUCAUUACAUUUCAGUGUUUGUACAUAUUUGCGCCAUUUGUACAAAGCAAUAUCGCCUUUAUUGACAUUAUUUACAACGUUAAUAUUAGAUUGGCGACAAUACGUGGAGCAUAUAAUGCAAAAGUAUAUGAAGUAAAAGCAAAUAUUGUGCAAAUUGUAUUUACUUGAUGCUAAAGAUAAAAUGUUCUUUAUAACCAUGAGGGAUUAAUAGGCUAAUAAAUAGCUUACGACACAAAUAUAACACAGGUAAUACACAAUUGCCUACAACACGACAUUGCUCUAGACACUAGUUUUCGCUUCGGAAUACGUAAGGUCUAGAUUCGAUUACCGAGACAAUGUGAUUGAAAACGUUAUUCAGUGAGCUCACUUGCCAGUACGCGAAGUCGCGUGCUACUGGUCAUAUCUUACUAAUAUAUAUGAAGAUGUUUGUAUGUUUGUUAGAAGUAAACGCAGAAACUACUGAACGGAUUUAGAUGAAAUUUAACAGACGGAUAGACCAUAUCCUGGGUUAAAAUUUAGACUUUUAUUUCGGUAAUUUACUGGCAACUAUUUGAAUUUAUAUUUAAAUAAAUAGUGCUGGCUUCGUACAGAUGUCGCUGCUAACUAAUUUAACUUAUAUCAAGGUUUUUCACGAGUGCGACGUCGCGAGGAACAUGUAGUCGUUUAUACUGCUCAAGCCUUCCAUUACCGAUCAUAAAUGAGAUGAGUUUACAAGCCAAUAUGUUGUUACUAUGUUCAUUUUAUUAUGGUUUUAACUUCCGACUAUGUAGGUAAUUAUACUGGGAUAUUAUAAAUAGUAAUUACGAACUCUACAUGUAUAUUUAUAAUAUAGUUUACUAUUACAAGUCCAGUCUUAACUUACGAUGAAAAACAUUAUAUAAAAAUUUCAUGUUGGUAAAUAUUAGAAGAUAUUCAUGAUUCCCCCUUUAUUUAUCUUUCGGGAUUAUUGUUUUUUUUUUAUUGAAAUACAUAAUUCAAUUGUUGCAAAGAAAAAACAGGGAAUCAAGGAAUGAGCCAUAAGGUAGAUAAGGAUGAUCAAGCUAAGUCUUGCAUUUGAGUCUAGUUAUAAAAGUCCUCAGAGCUUUUUAUUUAAAAAGCCAUAUACACUCAUUACCCAGGGAGGAAAAACUCAUCACUUUGCCCUACCCGAUUUGCCAACUCGAGACCUCAGAAGUACCGCACACAAAACAACCACGCCACUGAAGCACUAGGCAGUCAAUAAUGAAGUUAUUUCCUUAAGAAAUGCUCAGGCAUUCAGUUGGGAAACCCGGUUGCCUUAAAACCUGACGAGAAGGCUAAUUUCCUAAGCGAAAGUGCACAAUUACGUCAGAUCGGAUAUUUGCAUCAUGAUCCUUGUUUACCUCAGUUAUAUUUAUAAUUAAUUUUACGUAAUUACUGAUUAUACACGCACGCCUUUAUGACGGGGUAGACAGAGACGCAACUGAUACACUCACUUUUUCGUACGCAUUCCGUCCCAUGAAAGUGCGAGCCUAUCGCCAUUUUGGGGACGAAUUCCAGACUAAAACAUAACAACGCCAGCGCUAUAAAUUUAAAAAUCAGAUAAAAUAGUUAUUUCCCAUGGGAGCAAAUUACUGGGAUAUUAAAUAGCCUAUGUGUUAAUCCAGGACACGGUCAAUCCAUGUGACAAAUUCUAUCCAAAUCUCUUCAGCUGUUUUUGAAUUUCCUUUUCACAAACAUCCAAAUAUUUGCAAGAAGAAAUAUUCUGAAAUUAAUUUUGUAUUUAAUAAUUAUAUCGGUUGAAAGGCUAAUUGUAUUAAGCGAAAUAUUUUUUCAAAAAAAUUAACUAGAUUAAAAAAACAUAGAAAAAAGUGCUUAUUUUAAAUAUGUAUGACAUAUCGCAUAUUAUUCGAAUUUGGAUAAAUUAGCAUUAUACAAGCGACAAGAUCGUCUCAUGAUUCGGCAAAGUUAAAAAAUAAUCAGUGAUAAUCCAUCGGAAAAUAGAACAAUAGAGAUGAAUUCUAGAACAAUGAUAAUCUAGCAGAAAGGAACAGAUGUAUUCCAUGUAGUGGGAUAGUAGAGGUGAUAUACUUGCGUAAUAAAUGCCAUGCACAAUGUCAUGGCCGGGAGGACGCACAAAUCAUGGUUUAUUGCAGGAAGAGUAUUAUUAGAAGCGAGUUUAUUCUCAGCAUGCACGCGUACGAGAGGUUACUACCUCUGGGACUUGAACGGAAGCAUAUUUAUUACAAUUAAUAUGGUAAUACUACUACUGGACAUAAUAAGACUUAACAUCUCAUGUCUCAGGAUGGCGAGCGCAGUGGAAUACCAAACAAUACUUUGCAAUUUAAGGUGUUGGAUAGUGUAUCUUCUGUUUAUGGGCGGUCGUAUCGCUUACCAUUAGGCGAAUAGCAAGCUCGUCUCGUCAUUCAAAGGAAUAAAAAAAAUACUGUAGGGUGUAAAACAUGGAUAUCACCCGAAACAUGUACUACAUGAUAAGAAUCUCAACAUAAAGCCUUGUUUCGACAUGUUGUAUUCUUGGGUCACUAAUGUAUACUUUUAAUAAGUCAUGCUAUGAUAGACUACGGAACUUUUGUGUUAAUAAAGAGAUGUGAUGGCUCUUGUUGGUUGGUUUGUCUUUUAAUAUUCAUGAGGUGGACCUCACCAGAGUAACACUGGAGUGUUACUAUGCUGUAUCAGGAUAAAAAACUAUAUGGUAAGUUGAUUGCAGGUCUGAGGUGUCUGAGGAACUGUAUGCAAAGUUAAUGAGAAAAAUAUGAUAAUAAUUAAUGACUAUUAAAAUUUUUUUUUUUUUAUUUAUUUUGUCAUGUUACCAUGAAUAAAACUUGAUCUGUGGAAAGUAGAGCGUACAGAAAUAGAUUUUAAUUCGCUGGUGUGGGCGGUGCAUCCUCCGAGGUCUUGACUCAUGCGAUCACUUUACAUUACUCAUGUAGAUUCCCUAAUGGAUAAGAAUAUUCGAUUGUCACUGGGCCAUAUAUUUUCUUGGCUGUAUCGUAUCUAAAAGACGGCUUCUCUUCAAGUCUUUAUAAUAAUGUUGCUCUUAUUAGGUACAUGAUCUGAUUUGGGAAUGUGAUUCAGAAGUCAUUAAAACCGAUUUUUAACCAUGUCUACGAUAAUUGACCUAGGAACAGAACGUAGUAAUAAAUCAACUAAGAAUUUAUCCUUAAAUAAACUGAGGUUCAACAUAGAAGUAGAAAUGUUGGUUAAGAAAACGGAGGCAACAUUACUAUUUGCGCCAUUCGUAGAAUUCAAACGUUAGAAAGUAAAAUGCUAUGAGAAAUCAUACGGUACUAUAGUGUACUGAUAUGCUCAAUAUAUUGGUUUAGUGGAUGUACGUAGAAAGAACAGAUGGUCUUUAAUUCCAAGGAACUAUUUCCAGUUAUUUUUUACACCCCGCAAUUUGGUCUGACCGACACAAACUGCAUAUUCGGUUCAAUAAUUGGCCGUUCUUGUUCAGAUUUAAAAAUUGCUUUUAUAAGCCUUAAUAAGAAAUCUAAACAAAGUCUUAUUAAAUCUCAAUUGAAUUGGUGUAAGGAUGAUUAUGUUUUGUUCAAAUUCCCACGAGACGAACUCGAUUGUACAUAAAUAGAACCGCUUAAAAGGUAAUGUCUAAGUCAUAAAUGCACCGAAAGUUAGUUAUAUAUUUGAAUUCGUCAGAUUUCUCUGCGUUGUUUGAUCUAGGUUUUAUAGCCCUAGGACAAUUUUAAUAUCAUAACACAUUUUUUUGUAACAUAAAUAGUUUAAUUAUCAUGAAAUUUCUAAUUAAAAUCAUAAUUUUAAAUCGUUGUACUCAGAAGUUAACUGUUUGUCGCUUAGAUAUAAUUGCCUUCCAAACGUUAAGCAACACAACCAAGAAUACACUAUAUUGCACUGGAUUGUACACAACAAAUGACAACUUCUUAAUAUGAUACUUGUUUUGGAAGUAAAUAAUACUCCAGUAAACAAGCCACUGAUAUCCCGCUUUAGCUAUCAGGCGGAUAGCGCAACACAAUGAAUAUUAUCCGGAUUCGUCCGCCGCAACCGACAGGAAACGCAAGUAGGAAGUCUACAAGAUCUGAUGCUAUUAAUCUAGGCUGGCUAAGUGCUGCAAAUUGCACGCUUGAGCGUUCCGCGCGUAUCUAGAAAAACCUUCAUGGAAAUUUGAAUAAAUGCAUGUUUUGUUAUAAGAAUUUUUCGCCUGUUCAACCCGCUAUUUAAGUAAGUAAAAAUAAAGAAAGCUUAUAAAAUUUAUCUAAAAAAUGGCGAAUACUGGAUCUAAACGCAUGAAGUAUUGUACGCGAAUGAUUAUUGUCUAUGAUUGAAUAAAUUGUUUAUUGU